This 293-nucleotide ribosomal RNA is filed under the name uncultured bacterium. RNAcentral describes it as "partial 16S ribosomal RNA". It matches the Rfam family "Archaeal small subunit ribosomal RNA", at positions 455 to 747 of the family's 1478-position model. The record is from RNAcentral.
GUGCCAGCAGCCGCGGUAAUACCGGCAGCCCGAGUGAUGGCCGAUCUUAUUGGGCCUAAAGCGUCCGUAGCUGGCUGCGCAAGUCCGUCGGGAAAUCCGCCCGCUUAACGGGCGGACGUCCGGCGGAAACCAUACGGCUUGGGACCAGAGGAACCGAGGGGUACGUCGGGGGUAGGAGUGAAAUCCCAUAAUCCCGCACGGACCACCGAUGGCGAAAGCACUUCGAGAAAACGGAUCCGACAGUGAGGGACGAAAGCCAGGGUCUCCAACCGGAUUAGAUACCCUAGUAGUCC